UACGUAGGGGGCGAGCGUUGUCCGGAUUUAUUGGGCGUAAAGAGCGUGUAGGCGGCCAAACAGGUCCGUUGUGAAAACUGGAGGCUCAACCUCCAGACGUCGACGGAAACCGUAUGGCUAGAGUCCGGAAGAGGAGAGUGGAAUUCCUGGUGUAGCGGUGAAAUGCGCAGAUAUCAGGAAGAACACCAAUGGCGAAGGCAGCUCUCUGGGACGGUACUGACGCUGAGACGCGAAAGCGUGGGGAGCGAACAGG
This 253-nucleotide ribosomal RNA is filed under the name uncultured bacterium. Its description in RNAcentral is "partial 16S ribosomal RNA". It matches the Rfam family "Bacterial small subunit ribosomal RNA", at positions 524 to 776 of the family's 1533-position model. The record is from RNAcentral.